This 762-nucleotide ribosomal RNA is filed under the name uncultured bacterium. RNAcentral describes it as "bacterial SSU rRNA". It matches the Rfam family "Bacterial small subunit ribosomal RNA", at positions 30 to 787 of the family's 1533-position model. The record is from RNAcentral.
UGAACGCUGGCGGUAGGCUUAACACAUGCAAGUCGUGCGAGAAAGUAUCUUCGGAUAUGAGUAGAGCGGCGGACGGGUGAGUAACGCGUAGGAAUCUACCUAGUAGAAGGGGAUAGCCCGAGGAAACUCGGAUUAAUACCGUAUACCUCCUUCGGGAGAAAGAAGGCCUCUCUUUGAAGCUUUCGCUACUAGAUGAGCCUGCGUAAGAUUAGCUUGUUGGUGAGGUAAAGGCUCACCAAGGCUACGAUCUUUAGCGGGUCUGAGAGGACGAUCCGCCACAUUGGGACUGAGACACGGCCCAGACUCCUACGGGAGGCAGCAGUGGGGAAUAUUGGACAAUGGGCGAAAGCCUGAUCCAGCCAUACCGCGUGUGUGAAGAAGGCCCUAGGGUUGUAAAGCACUUUAAGUUGGGAAGAAAAGUUAUUGGUUAAUACCCAAUGACCGUGACAUUACCAUCAGAAUAAGGACCGGCUAAUUCCGUGCCAGCAGCCGCGGUAAUACGGAAGGUCCAAGCGUUAAUCGGAAUUACUGGGCGUAAAGCGCGCGUAGGUGGUUUAUUAAGUUGGGUGUGAAAUCCCCGGGCUCAACCUGGGAACUGCAUCCAAAACUGAUUCACUAGAGUACGAUAGAGGGAGGUAGAAUUCACAGUGUAGCGGUGGAAUGCGUAGAUAUUGUGAAGAAUACCAAUGGCGAAGGCAGCCUCCUGGAUCUGUACUGACACUGAGGUGCGAAAGCGUGGGUAGCGAACAGGAUUAGAUACCC